Gallus gallus (chicken) is the source of this 389-nucleotide long non-coding RNA. The record is from Ensembl. Lineage: Eukaryota; Metazoa; Chordata; Aves; Galliformes; Phasianidae.
GGAGAUCACUCCUUGUGAGUUUUCUUGUGAGCCUAUGAUAUUGAUCUCUUCUGGAGGCGAGAAAGUGGGAAGUCAGCCACAUAUCUCUGUCAUAGUUGAGGAUACUGUUAACUGAAUUUGUGCAAAGUGCCUACUUGUAUGAUCAGCAACUGGCUGGACUGAGGUGGCAGUGAUGAACUGGCUGUACCUGGGCUGCUGGAAGAAACUCAUUCCUUAGAAGCAAACCUUUAGAAAGAACAGCAUUUAUGAAAUGAUGCAUUGUGCAGUGGACAAGCCCCUCUUGCCUCAUUUAUCACUGGGACAACAGUAAGGGCAGGUGUUGUCCUUCCAGCUUCUGCCUGCAUUCUCACGAAUGCCUUGAGAUCCAACAGAAAUUCCUGCUACUCAAC